CCUACGGGUGGCAGCAGUGAGGAAUAUUGGUCAAUGGACGAGAGCCUGAACCAGCCAAGUAGCGUGAAGGAUGACUGCCCUAGGGGUUGUAAACUUCUUUUAUAUGGGAAUAAAACAGGGUACGUGUACCCUCUGGUAUGUACCAUAUGAAUAAGGAUCGGCUAACUCCGUGCCAGCAGCCGCGGUAAUACGGAGGAUCCGAGCGUUAUCCGGAUUUAGUGGGUUUAAAGGGAGCGUAGGUGGUUUGUUAAGUCAGUUGUGAAAGUUUGCGGCUCAACCGUAAAAUUGCAGUUGAUACUGGCAGUCUUGAGUACAGUAGAGGUAGGCGGAAUUCGUGGUGUAGCGGUGAAAUGCUUAGAUAUCACGAAGAACUCCGAUUGCGAAGGCAGCUCACUAGACUGCAACUGACAUUGAUGCUCGAAAGUGUGGGUAUCAAACAGGAUUAGAUACCCUUGUAGUC
RNAcentral lists this ribosomal RNA (460 nucleotides) under uncultured bacterium. Its description in RNAcentral is "partial 16S ribosomal RNA". It matches the Rfam family "Bacterial small subunit ribosomal RNA", at positions 338 to 795 of the family's 1533-position model. The record is from RNAcentral.